Molecule: long non-coding RNA, 111 nt
Organism: Chanos chanos (milkfish)
Lineage: Eukaryota; Metazoa; Chordata; Actinopteri; Gonorynchiformes; Chanidae
Exons: 3
Source: RefSeq, a predicted model, not a curated record
GAGGACGCCAAACCAACACUCCGCAGAAUGUGGAAACGGUUUUGUGGUCUGUGGGGGAAAAAUCAUGGGGACGCCCAACCUGUACCAGUCUGAGCGUGCUUCUCAUUUCCG